This 258-nucleotide ribosomal RNA is filed under the name Josephinella vikosensis. RNAcentral describes it as "Chilostoma vikosensis partial 16S ribosomal RNA". It matches the Rfam family "Archaeal large subunit ribosomal RNA", at positions 2021 to 2558 of the family's 2987-position model. The record is from RNAcentral. Lineage: Eukaryota; Metazoa; Mollusca; Gastropoda; Stylommatophora; Helicidae.
GACUGUGCAAAGGUAGCAUAAUAAGUUGGCUUAUAAUUGAGGUCUAGGAUGAAUGAACCUACGGGGUUCUACUGUCUUUAUGGUAAUAAGAUGAACUUAGUAAUCAAGUGCAAAUACUUGAUAAUAUUAAAUAGACGAGAAGACCCUAGAAACUUUUAAGUAUGUUUUGCUGGGGCGGCAGAGUUGCACUUAACCAACUUAUUUAACAUGCAGUAUGGCUGUAAGAUCAAGUUACUCUAGGGAUAACAGCAUAAUUAA